GGGUUGUGAGGUUAAGCGACUAAGCGUACACGGUGGAUGCCCUGGCAGUCAGAGGCGAUGAAGGACGUGCUAAUCUGCGAUAAGCGUCGGUAAGGUGAUAUGAACCGUUAUAACCGGCGAUUUCCGAAUGGGGAAACCCAGUGUGAUUCGUCACACUAUCAUUACGUGAAUACAUAGCGUAAUGAAGCGAACCGGGGGAACUGAAACAUCUAAGUACCCCGAGGAAAAGAAAUCAACCGAGAUUCCCCCAGUAGCGGCGAGCGAACGGGGAGCAGCCCAGAGUCUGAAUCAGCUUGUGUGUUAGUGGAACGGUCUGGAAAGUCCGACGGUACAGGGUGAUAGUCCCGUACACCAAAAUGCACAGGUUGUGAACUCGAAGAGUAGGGCGGGACACGUGGUAUCCUGUCUGAAUAUGGGGGGACCAUCCUCCAAGGCUAAAUACUCCUGACUGACCGAUAGUGAACCAGUACCGUGAGGGAAAGGCGAAAAGAACCCCGGCGAGGGGAGUGAAAAAGAACCUGAAACCGUGUACGUACAAGCAGUGGGAGCAUCCUUUUGGGUGUGACUGCGUACCUUUUGUAUAAUGGGUCAGCGACUUAUAUUCUGUAGCAAGGUUAACCGUAUAGGGGAGCCGAAGGGAAACCGAGUCUUAACUGGGCGUUAAGUUGCAGGGUAUAGACCCGAAACCCGGUGAUCUAGCCAUGGGCAGGUUGAAGGUUGGGUAACACUAACUGGAGGACCGAACCGACUAAUGUUGAAAAAUUAGCGGAUGACUUGUGGCUGGGGGUGAAAGGCCAAUCAAACCGGGAGAUAGCUGGUUCUCCCCGAAAGCUAUUUAGGUAGCGCCUCGUGAAUUCAUCUUCGGGGGUAGAGCACUGUUUCGGCUAGGGGGUCAUCCCGACUUACCAACCCGAUGCAAACUGCGAAUACCGAAGAAUGUUAUCACGGGAGACACACGGCGGGUGCUAACGUCCGUCGUGAAGAGGGAAACAACCCAGACCGCCAGCUAAGGUCCCAAAGUCAUGGUUAAGUGGGAAACGAUGUGGGAAGGCACAGACAGCCAGGAUGUUGGCUUAGAAGCAGCCAUCAUUUAAAGAAAGCGUAAUAGCUCACUGGUCGAGUCGGCCUGCGCGGAAGAUGUAACGGGGCUAAACCAUGCACCGAAGCUGCGGCAGCGACACUAUGUGUUGUUGGGUAGGGGAGCGUUCUGUAAGCCGUUGAAGGUGUAUCGUGAGGUAUGCUGGAGGUAUCAGAAGUGCGAAUGCUGACAUAAGUAACGAUAAUGCGGGUGAAAAACCCGCACGCCGGAAGACCAAGGGUUCCUGUCCAACGUUAAUCGGGGCAGGGUGAGUCGACCCCUAAGGCGAGGCCGAAAGGCGUAGUCGAUGGGAAACAGGUUAAUAUUCCUGUACUUGGUGUUACUGCGAAGGGGGGACGGAGAAGGCUAUGUUAGCCGGGCGACGGUUGUCCCGGUUUAAGCAUGUAGGCGGAGGUUCCAGGUAAAUCCGGUACCUUUUUAACGCUGAGGUGUGAUGACGAGGCACUACGGUGCUGAAGUAACAAAUGCCCUGCUUCCAGGAAAAGCCUCUAAGCAUCAGGUAACACGAAAUCGUACCCCAAACCGACACAGGUGGUCAGGUAGAGAAUACCAAGGCGCUUGAGAGAACUCGGGUGAAGGAACUAGGCAAAAUGGUGCCGUAACUUCGGGAGAAGGCACGCUGAUAUGUAGGUGAAGUGAUUUACUCAUGGAGCUGAAAUCAGUCGAAGAUACCAGCUGGCUGCAACUGUUUAUUAAAAACACAGCACUGUGCAAACACGAAAGUGGACGUAUACGGUGUGACGCCUGCCCGGUGCCGGAAGGUUAAUUGAUGGGGUUAUCCGUAAGGAGAAGCUCUUGAUCGAAGCCCCGGUAAACGGCGGCCGUAACUAUAACGGUCCUAAGGUAGCGAAAUUCCUUGUCGGGUAAGUUCCGACCUGCACGAAUGGCGUAAUGAUGGCCAGGCUGUCUCCACCCGAGACUCAGUGAAAUUGAACUCGCUGUGAAGAUGCAGUGUACCCGCGGCAAGACGGAAAGACCCCGUGAACCUUUACUAUAGCUUGACACUGAACACUGGUCCUUGAUGUGUAGGAUAGGUGGGAGGCUUUGAAGUGUGGACGCCAGUCUGCAUGGAGCCAUCCUUGAAAUACCACCCUUUAAUGGCUGGUGUUCUAACGUGGACCCGUAAUCCGGGUUGCGGACAGUGUCUGGUGGGUAGUUUGACUGGGGCGGUCUCCUCCUAAAGAGUAACGGAGGAGCACGAAGGUUAGCUAAUCCUGGUCGGACAUCAGGAGGUUAGUGCAAAGGCAUAAGCUAGCUUGACUGCGAGAGUGACGGCUCGAGCAGGUGCGAAAGCAGGUCUUAGUGAUCCGGUGGUUCUGAAUGGAAGGGCCAUCGCUCAACGGAUAAAAGGUACUCCGGGGAUAACAGGCUGAUACCGCCCAAGAGUUCAUAUCGACGGCGGUGUUUGGCACCUCGAUGUCGGCUCAUCACAUCCUGGGGCUGAAGUAGGUCCCAAGGGUAUGGCUGUUCGCCAUUUAAAGUGGUACGCGAGCUGGGUUUAGAACGUCGUGAGACAGUUCGGUCCCUAUCUGCCGUGGGCGCUGGAGAAUUGAGGGGGGCUGCUCCUAGUACGAGAGGACCGGAGUGGACGCAUCACUGGUGUUCGGGUUGUCAUGCCAAUGGCAUUGCCCGGUAGCUAAAUGCGGAAGAGAUAAGUGCUGAAAGCAUCUAAGCACGAAACUUGCCCCGAGAUGAGUUCUCCCUGAGACUUUAAGUCUCCUGAAGGAACGUUGAAGACGACGACGUUGAUAGGUCGGGUGUGUAAGCGUAGCGAUACGUUGAGCUAACCGAUACUAAUGAACCGUGAGGCUUAACCUUACAACGCCGAAG
RNAcentral lists this ribosomal RNA (2929 nucleotides) under Citrobacter freundii. Its description in RNAcentral is "23S ribosomal RNA". It matches the Rfam family "Bacterial large subunit ribosomal RNA". The record is from RNAcentral. Lineage: Bacteria; Pseudomonadati; Pseudomonadota; Gammaproteobacteria; Enterobacterales; Enterobacteriaceae.